GACGAACGCUGGCGGCGUGCUUAACACAUGCAAGUCGAACGGAAAGGCCCUGCUUUUGUGGGGUGCUCGAGUGGCGAACGGGUGAGUAACACGUGAGUAACCUGCCCUUGACUUUGGGAUAACUUCAGGAAACUGGGGCUAAUACCGGAUAGGAGCUCCUGCUGCAUGGUGGGGGUUGGAUGGUUUCGGCGGUUGGGGAUGGACUCGCGGCUUAUCAGCUUGUUGGUGGGGUAGUGGCUUACCAAGGCUUUGACGGGUAGCCGGCCUGAGAGGGUGACCGGCCACAUUGGGACUGGGAUACGGCCCAGACUCCUACGGGAGGCAGCAGUGGGGAAUAGUGCACAAUGGGCGGAAGCCUGAUGCAGCAACGCCGCGUGCGGGAUGACGGCCUUCGGGUUGUAAACCGCUUUCGCCUGUGACGAAGCGUGAGUGACGGUAAUGGGUAAAGAAGCACCGGCUAACUACGUG
Molecule: ribosomal RNA, 468 nt
Filed under: uncultured bacterium
Lineage: Bacteria
Description: partial 16S ribosomal RNA
Rfam family: Bacterial small subunit ribosomal RNA
Source: RNAcentral